UACGUAGGGGGCAAGCGUUGUCCGGAAUUAUUGGGCGUAAAGCGCGCGCAGGCGGUCUCUUAAGUCUGAUGUGAAAUCUUGCGGCUCAACCGCAAGCGGUCAUUGGAAACUGGGAGACUUGAGUACAGAAGAGGAGAGUGGAAUUCCAUGUGUAGCGGUGAAAUGCGUAGAUAUAUGGAGGAACACCAGUGGCGAAGGCGACUCUCUGGUCUGUAACUGACGCUGAGGCGCGAAAGCGUGGGGAG
Molecule: ribosomal RNA, 245 nt
Filed under: uncultured Halolactibacillus sp.
Lineage: Bacteria; Bacillati; Bacillota; Bacilli; Caryophanales; Bacillaceae
Description: partial 16S ribosomal RNA
Rfam family: Bacterial small subunit ribosomal RNA
Source: RNAcentral